GAUAGAGAGAGAGAGAGAGAGAGAGAGAGAGAGAGAGAGAGAGAGAGAAGAAGUAUGUAAUAAUUUAAUCAAUUUGAACCUACAUCAGCAAUAUCUUGUUCGGUAGCUUUAAAUGGCAAACCACGCAUGUGUAUACUAUGAAUACCGGAAUUACCACCCCAUGUAUCACCGCUGCCUCUGAAAUUUCCACCUUUCAUAUCCAAACCUCCUCUCAUUCCCAUACUUCCUCCGCGUGAAUCAAAAUUAUUACCACUUCCCCAUGGACCA
Long non-coding RNA from Apis florea (little honeybee), 267 nucleotides. NCBI's taxonomy places the organism in Eukaryota, Metazoa, Arthropoda, Insecta, Hymenoptera, Apidae. The record is from RefSeq and is a predicted model, not a curated record.